AGCGGGGUGAUCUACCCAUGGCCAGUGUGAAGCAGCAGUAAGAUGCUGUGGAGGCGCGAACCCACGUAGGUUGAAAACUGCGGGGAUGAGCUGUGGGUAGGGGUGAAAGGCCAAUCAAACUCCGUGAUAGCUGGUUCUCCCCGAAAUGCAUUUAGGUGCAGCGUCGCAUUAGCUUGGUGGAGGUAGAGCUACUGGUUGGUUGAGCGGGACUACAAUCUUAGCAAUGUCAGCCAAACUCCGAAUGCCAUUAAUGUGUUGUGCGGCAGUGAGACUGUGGGGGAUAAGCUUCAUAGUCGAGAGGGAAACAGCCCAGAUCGCCGGUUAAGGCCCCUAAGGGUGUGCUAAGUGGAAAAGGAUGUGGGAUCGCGAAGACAGCCAGGAGGUUGGCUUAGAAGCAGCCAUCCUUGAAAGAGUGCGUAAUAGCUCACUGGUCGAGUGGUUCUGCGCCGACAAUGUAGUGGGGCUCAAGCACACCGCCGAAGCCGCGGCAAUAAUAUUUUGUUAUUGGGUAGGGGAGCGUCGUGCACGUGUUGAAGCGUUACCGUGAGGAGGCGUGGAGUGUGUGCGAGUGAGAAUGCAGGCAUGAGUAACGAAUUGGAAGGUGAGAAUCCUUCCCGCCGGAUGACUAAGGGUUCCUGGGUCAAGUUCGUCUUCCCAGGGUGAGUCGGGACCUAAGGCGAGGCCGACAGGCGUAGUCGAUGGAUAACCAGUUGAUAUUCUGGUACCCGGGUAUAUGCGCCCCUGAUAAAGCACUGAUACUAACCACCGUAAGCUGUUGUGAUUGGCCUUCGGGUUAACAUGGUGGCAAGCCGUGGGGCCUGAUGUGUGGUUCAAGCGAUGGGGUGACACAGUGGGGUAGCCAUGCCGCUUAGUGGAUUGUUGGUGUAAGCGUGUAGGUGAUGGUGUAGGUAAAUCCGCACUUGUUAGCUGAGACGUGAUGCGUAGCCUUAAUUGGUGAAGUUGGUGAUCCCGUGCUGUCGAGAAAAGCCUCUAGCGAUGUAUAUACUCGGCCCGUACCCCAAACCGACACAGGUAGUCAGGUUGAAAAUACUAAGGCGUUCGGGUGAACUGUGGUUAAGGAACUCGGCAAAAUGCCCCCGUAACUUCGGGAGAAGGGGGACCCUAUGGCGUGAACACCCAUUUGCGGUGGGAAGCGUUGUGGGGUCGCAGAGAAUAGAGGGAAGCGACUGUUUAUCAAAAACACAGGUCCAUGCGAAGACGUUAAGUUGAUGUAUAUGGACUGACGCCUGCCCGGUGCUGGAAGGUUAAGAGGACCGGUUAAUCAAGCUUUGCUUGGUGAAGCUGAGAAUUUAAGCCCCAGUAAACGGCGGUGGUAACUAUAACCAUCCUAAGGUAGCGAAAUUCCUUGUCGGGUAAGUUCCGACCUGCACGAAUGGCGUAACGACUUCCCUGCUGUCUCAACCACAGGCCCGGUGAAAUUGCACUACGAGUAAAGAUGCUCGUUACGCGCGGCAGGACGAAAAGACCCCGGGACCUUCACUAUAGCUUGGUAUUGGUGUUCGGUUCGGUUUGUGUAGGAUAGGUGGGAGACUAUGAAACAUGCACGCCAGUGUGUGUGGAGUCGUUGUUGAAAUACCACUCUGAUCGGAUUGGAUACCUUAACCUUGGCCCAUGAUCUGGGUUGGGGACAGUGCCUGGUGGGUAGUUUAACUGGGGCGGUUGCCUCCCAAAAUGUAACGGAGGCGCCCAAAGGUUCCCUCAGCCUGGUUGGCAAUCAGGUGGUGAGUGUAAGUGCACAAGGGAGCUUGACUGUGAGAGUGACAGCUCGAACAGGGACGAAAGUCGGGACUAGUGAUCCGGCACCUACUUGUGGAUGUGGUGUCGCUCAACGGAUAAAAGGUACCCCGGGGAUAACAGGCUGAUCUUCCCCAAGAGUCCAUAUCGACGGGAUGGUUUGGCACCUCGAUGUCGGCUCGUCGCAUCCUGGGGCUGGAGUAGGUCCCAAGGGUUGGGCUGUUCGCCCAUUAAAGCGGCACGCGAGCUGGGUUCAGAACGUCGUGAGACAGUUCGGUCUCUAUCCGCCGCGCGCGUUGAAACUUGAAGAAGGCUGUCCCUAGUACGAGAGGACCGGGACGGACGUACCUCUAGUGUGCCAGUUGUUCCGCCAGGAGCAUCGCUGGUUGGCUACGUACGGAAGGGAUAACCGCUGAAAGCAUCUAAGCGGGAAGCCUGUUUUAAGAUGAGGUUUCAUUUGAGGUCCCCUAAAGACUAUGGGGUUGAUAGGCCAGACAUGGAAGCACCGCAAGGUGUGGAGUCUACUGGUACUAAUA
This 2291-nucleotide ribosomal RNA is filed under the name Corynebacterium striatum. RNAcentral describes it as "partial 23S ribosomal RNA". It matches the Rfam family "Bacterial large subunit ribosomal RNA", at positions 719 to 2906 of the family's 2925-position model. Lineage: Bacteria; Bacillati; Actinomycetota; Actinomycetes; Mycobacteriales; Corynebacteriaceae. The record is from RNAcentral.